This 225-nucleotide unclassified non-coding RNA is filed under the name Entoloma griseocyaneum. Its description in RNAcentral is "partial internal transcribed spacer 2". Lineage: Eukaryota; Fungi; Basidiomycota; Agaricomycetes; Agaricales; Entolomataceae. The record is from RNAcentral.
AAUCCCUCAUCCUUUCGAGCUUUCUUUAAGCUGGUCAGGCUUUGGAUUCUGGGAGUUUGCUGGCUUACAUUGAGCCGGCUCUUCUUAAAUGUAUUAGCAAGAUCAUCGCUAAAUCAUGUUUGAUAUGAUAAUUAUCUAUAUCAAUAAAUGAGAUCUGGCGGAUUUCCAUUUAGGAAAAUUGAUCAAGCUUUACAAUGGUCUCAGGACAACAAAUGCUUUUGAAUC